AAGGCAGGGUAACCCUGAUGAGCUACUAAUUGCUGUAAUUGGUUCCAGCAGGGAAACCAGCCCACGUGCCCAGGGCUCUGUGGUGAGGACAGGGACUUGCUAAGAGGGUUCCCUGGAGGUGGUGUGAAAUUGCAAACAGGAGGCCAGGACUUGGUGUCCUGGUAGGGCAGCACUGUUCCUGUAGCCCGUGCUUUAGGAUCUAGGGAAGGAGCAGAGGAGGUUUUAGCUCAAGCCUCCAGAAAUUUGGGCAAUGGAGGCAGCUGCCGUCGGCAUUGGAAACGUACAGUGGAGAUUUUGGCAACUGAUGUCCUGAGUAACCUUGGCCAAGUCAUCUAAAGGGGAUGAAGGGUCCCUGCCGUGCUCUUGGUUUGCUUCCCUCGCUGAAGAGCUGCCUCCUGCCUAAGAAAAACCAAACUCUGGAGAAAGGCGCGGUUCUGUAUGCUGAACACUCCCGCUGCCCCUGUUCUUGCCCUCAUUUGGCAGAAGGGAAGCUGAGGCAGUUUACCCCAGCACGCCCAGUAGCUGACCAGGACUGGAGCAGCACAGCUCUGCCAGACCCCACGCUGCCCUGCCUGAGCCCUGAGGAGGGCAGAAGAUGAACCAGGGACGUCUGCAGAGAAACUAAGAACAAAACCAGAUGCGGGCACAAGUGAGGGAACGAGUGAGGGUGGGAAAUAAACCGGGCAAUGAAUUCUUGCUUGGACCGUAAAAUAAAACCUCUAGGAGAUGCUUAAAGAAGGUGGGAUGGGGAAUCUUAUUUUAAGCGGCUUGGUGGCUUUUUAGCUCAAACAGGAGAGGAAGAUGAUGGUGCGAUCCGAGCCACAUCUGCUUGCCUCCGUGGCAAAAGGCUUUGUCCUGCUGUCUGCUCGGAAAUACUUUUAACCGAGUCACGAAGUUGAAGGCUGUGAUUUUUACUGCUCACAGGAUAGGAGGGAUCUGCCACCGUCUGACGCCCGGCAGGGCUUCCUGAGUGCUACCUUCGGCCUCGCUGAGGGAGAGACCCCUUUUUCCCCUGUCCGCCCCCAAAAUGCCAUCCCUGCCCCGCAUCCCUCGUACCUGCGGGCAGCCCCGAGCUCUGCGCGUCCCUUUCCGCUCUCCCACGGGGAAAUCAAAUCAAAUACAAAACAAAAGCUUGCUUUCCUUACCCAGGAGGCUGCACAGUAGCAAACCGGGGGGGUUGGGGCAGAGCAGCCCCGGCUCUCUCCGUCGCCGCGUCCUGGCCGCCUCGGAGCGCUUUUCCCAGGGAAAAACUCAACGAAAGCCGGGCAGCGGGGGGGGCCGGGGGGCAGGCUUACCUGCUCUCCUGCCGGCGGCCGGCCGCGGGAUAAAACUCGCCCUGCGUUUGGCCGGCGGGGCUCGCUUUAAUUUCCCCCCUGCUCGGAAAACGGAGCUGGAAACCGAGCGAGCGCCCGGGCGGAUCGCGCGGCCCUCUCGGGAGCGGGUUUCCCCCGGGGGCCUCGCUGCCCAAGGCACCCCCGGCGAGGGGCCGGGGGGAUUUGCCCGUGGGAGACGGGUCCCGGGUUCCCCCCCCUCCCCCCCAGCGGAGGGCCCGGCUGGGCCGGCCCGGGCUCCGCACGCCCCCGGGGGUGGGCAGGGGGGCGGCCGCCCUAUAUAUUGCAAAGCGGCUCGGGGCCCGGCUCCCCAUCGCCGGGAGCUGCCGCGGC
Molecule: long non-coding RNA, 1664 nt
Organism: Cygnus olor (mute swan)
Lineage: Eukaryota; Metazoa; Chordata; Aves; Anseriformes; Anatidae
Exons: 3
Source: RefSeq, a predicted model, not a curated record